Long non-coding RNA from Corvus hawaiiensis (hawaiian crow), 8735 nucleotides. RefSeq lists it as uncharacterized. The transcript has 18 exons. The record is from RefSeq and is a predicted model, not a curated record. Lineage: Eukaryota; Metazoa; Chordata; Aves; Passeriformes; Corvidae.
UUCCUGCUGUUCUGCCACUUCAGGAUCUCUUCCCUCAGGAGCACAGACAUGGAAAAAUGCACUGACACAGCUCUGCAAGGAGACCUGACUGCUGUUGCCAAGGUGUCGGUGUUGUGAGACUUUAUUGGAAAUCUGGGAAAAUUCAUGUCAUCCCUGACAAAGAUCUGUCCCCAGGGGGUACAAGCCAACUCUGAGACAGAGAGGGAAAACAGAGCACCCCAAAGAUGUCCAGAACAUCUCCUCAGUGAUUUCCUGCAUUUCUCCAAGCACCAGCAGGUUUUAGGAUGCACUUUAACACGCUUUUAUCCUCCAGAAAAACUGAGCUCUUCCCCCCCGCCAAGGGAAGGUCAGGGAGCCGCUGGUGUCCCAGCAGAGCAGGAGGGAGCUGCCGCGAGAGCGUGGCCAGAGCGACGGAGGCCGCCUGAAAGGGAACUUCUGACGGGAACAAAGGAAGCUGGAAGGACCCAGAGGUUUAAGCCACAACCCUUUGGAAACAAGAGGCAUGAGGCAAUUUUAAUAUUUCUCCAAGAAUAUCUCAUCAGAAGAACUGGAAUGUGCAUGAUGGGGCCAUAAAACAUCUUAAUUUUCCAGGCAAAGGGAGAUGUUGUCCCCCACAGAAAAAAGUUAUUGAAGAGGAAGAACGUAGUGAGGUUGAACGGGAGAACAUUUUCUAGGGAUGGACAAGUAAAUUUCAGACUAAAUUAUUUCCUCAAUUUAUGUAGAAGAGGAUGAACUAAACGUUCCAUGGGAUGUUUGCUACAAACAUUUUUCUGGGAUACCUUUAGGAAAAAAAAAGAAUUUAAAAAGUCCUGUCAAUAAAACCAGACCGGAUUUAUGGACGGACUGCAGAGCCCAGGAAAGGACUGGAAUGCUCAACAGGGGAUGAGAUCACCACAAAUAAACCCAGGAACACAGCAGAGGACACAGGAGAAGCAUCUGUCCUUCAGGGAGGAGUUUUGUUUCCCAGAGCUCCCAUCACAUUUAGUGUCAAUUUGUUCAAAAUGAAGACCCUCGAAUCUUUCACUGGGCGAGGAAUUGUCUCCAGCUGGGGAGAUUCUCUUCGCAGCAGCGUGGGUGUAUCCAGAGUAGCCAGGCUGAAGCCAAUAAGAUUUCAGUUCUAAUUCCCACGAAUCCCUUUACAAAUGUCCUUUUCUUCACGGAAUAAUGUCAAGAAACUUUUCUGAUUCCUGGGUAUUGUUUCUCCUGGAGCAUGAGGGACUCCUCUAAGAAUUGUGGAAAAAUUUGGGUUUGAAGAGACCUCAAAGCUCAUCUCAUUCCAACCCUCUGCCAUGGGUGACUCAUGGUGCUCAGUGUGGAAUUCCAGCUGAGUAGGAGGUGGGAAUGAGCUCCUGUGCAGAUCAUGCCCAUCCCAAGGGACAGUGCUCAGCCUCCGGAUCCAUCGGCUCCCGUUCGAUGUCUGCCUUGUCCGUAAUCUCUCGGCAGACUCCUGCAGCUAGCUAAUCUUCCUAUUGAUUUUGGCUUAGGAACACCUGGAGCUGUUCAAUCCCUAAUAAAAUCUGAGGAGUUCGGUUUUCGAGCCAUUUAACUCAUUUGGAGGCAGAGUUUAUUUAUUUUCUGAGGAGCAAUCGAAGAGCUCUGCUUGUUCCUGAGUAAAGGCGUCAGACGGACAAGUGAAAACCGAGCCAAAAUCCAUCCAACCACGCCGAGCUCCUGCCCUGCAACUGGAAUGUUUUGGGCUACCAUGCAUCUGCCUGGAUUUUCCCUCCUUUUCCUUCUCUUCAGCUCUAUUUUCCCAGUUUAACUGGAGAGAAAAAGCCCAUCUCUUCCUGAUCCUGUGUUUCAAUCCUGCACCACAAAUCCCGAUGGAUCCGGGUUGGAAGGAAUGCCAAACUUUCUGAUUGCCUUUCCAAUUGUUUUUCUGGUUUCCCCUUCUGUUAUUUUCUCCACCCUGCUCCAGAUCCAGAUGUUUUGUUCAGGAAUUCUGGCAGAUUUGCUGAGGAGAAACCAAGGUGAGACAAAGCAAAAGGUGCAAAUUUUGGGGGAUCGGGUGUGCAGAUGGGGUCACCUUCCUGUAUUCAGUGCCAGAUACCCUGGAAUCCUGCUCAGUUCUUCAGGCAAGGCAGAAAUUACCAAAGCUCAACAGGAGAAAAAUCAAGGAACUUUUGCCUGGGUAGAAAUUGUUACUGGAAUGGGGAGAAGGCUGAGGUAUGGAAAUGGAAAAAACAUGGGAAGAGUUCACACUUCCAGGUAUUUAUUUACCUUUAUUUGUGUUAUUUACCAUUAAAUAAAGCCAAUUUUUUAGUGAAAAUAGUGUUAUAUUUAAUUGCAAGGCCCUUGCAGAAAGUCUGUAAUAUUUCAUUGCAUAGCUGAUAAGCUUAAAUCUCUGUCAGAUAACAUCUCACUUUUCUAUUUAUUUAAAUGAUGAAAGGUGGAUGUUUUAUGACUAAAAUGAUUUAAUGACUUUUUCUUUUACGUUUUCUUAACCAGGGUGACAUUUAGACAAGGGAAAGGAAAAAAAAAAGUCAGACCAGCCAUCAAUAAAUGCUUUCAUUGGUUAAAUUUUAAUGUUAUUUUUAAGCAAAUAAUGAAUUUGACUAAUAACUGCAGAGCCAGACACUAUUCAUUCCAUAAUUAGCUUGACAGUCACCAUCAAUCCUGUAGUUUUGUUCAGCUUAUUAUAAAAUCUUGUCUCCUUUUCCCACCUAACAUCUUCCCAAGUUGCAUUCCAUGAAACAGGAGGUUUCUGAAGAUUCUCCAAGCAAAUCUUUGACAAUGACAGAGCUCCAGCCACUGGAGAAAGAUGCUUUGGGAACUGAAUGCAACAGGGCCGUGUUCUGGCCGUUAAUGCUUAUGCCUGGAUUUGGAGAUGCCUCCUAGAAUAAAACCAGAAAACUGCACCUCUGGAGGAGUUUUUAAUAAUACAGAAGGAGAAAAGUGUGUCCCACUUGAGCUGUUCAUAUUGCGAGCUCCUAUCUGAAGAAAUAUUUCUGAGGGGAUUCAAAGACCCUGGAAGAAAUCCUAUAUAGGGUUAAUGAUUCUAUGAAAUGAGGAGCACCACGAGAAACUGAAGAACAUCCCCUGGUGCUACUGGAACCAAGAGCAAAUGGCAGGAAGUGCUGUGGAAGUUCUCCUGUUUGUUAUCCAAGGUCCCAAAAUGUCCCUGGAAGGAGUGGCCUGGAGAAGGUUUGGAAAUCUGGAAAUCACAGCUGAGUUUGUGCAGAAAUGGAACUUGAGUUUUAUUCUGAAGAUCCUUUCUCUCUCCCUCUAUUUAUUGGAUAUUAUCUCUCCAUUCUGCUUGUCAUGGCACUACCUGAAGUUUUGAGAUACGCAGGCUUUGGCAGCGUUAUUGACUUGGAAAGUUCCCGUGUCCUUCACAUUCCAUUGUGUUCAACUCCCCAGAUAAGUUCAUGGUUAUAUUGUAUACAUCUGAUCCAAUUUAUUUCAACAACAAGAUAUUGCUUGGAAGGAAACAGAUUCUGCUCUCUAUCUUUAGGAAUUACCUAAAUGUGCUAAAAUCCAAGCCUAACGAUUUUUCACAAUUAGGCUGAUGGGCCUUGAUGCCUUUCUGAGGGAAAAACCUGAGAAAUAUGCCCAGAAUAACAAAUCAUUAGAUGUGAUAAGCCAGGAGGUCCAGUUUUCCUGAUAACUUGUCUUAAUUAUCUUUUUGGGUUUUUUUCACUCUGGGCUACUUGUUUAUAUUGGAAGUAAAAACGAUCCCUCUGUCAUCCUUGGAUAUUCCCAGCAGCCAAGAAAGUCUUUUCCAUCUAUUUCCCCUCAUCCCCCCAGCCCCUGCAGCCAAGCUGCCUUCCAAGGCAUAAUUAAUUUAUAGUUUGUACCCCAAGGAGGAAAAGUUGAGUGCUCAUCAGUGUGAUAUUCUAGCACUUCAGUGCAUUAUUUUGGGAGAUCUUAUUGUGUUUAUUCCAAUACCCAUGGCAAAAAACCCUGGAUUCUUUGCCCUUCAUUUCCUUCUUGAACGUAAUAAACCUAAUUCAGGCACUAAUCAUAUUACAACCACUUAUUAUUUUGGUAAUUCAGACUAAAAAGGGCCUGAUUUUGGUGUUUCCACUGCAGUUGGUUGGGAGGGAGGUGGGUAUCCACUGAAAUAGUAAAAUCCAAAACAUCAUGCCCAGAAACUGGCUCUGUUCUGAAAGAAAAUCUCCAAUUUGAGUUCCAGCCACUGUGUUUUAAAGUGCUUCAUGACGCAGAGUUCCUGCACAGGGCAAGAAAAGCUGCACAAUUCUUGGUCCAGCUCAUGGCACACUUUCAUACAGGCUCGGGAACCUGAAUUUCAGCACCUCAUCUGGGAGUGUCAACCUUUGUAGGCAGUGGUAGAGCAAAAAAUCCCACUGCCAGCAACUCUUGUUGUAAUUGUCUGCCCUAUUUUAGCAACUCCAGCACAAGUUAUUGGGUUAGAUGAAGGCACCAAGAAAUAAAAUCCCAAUCUGUGGCACAGGAGAAACAUUCACAACAUUUCUGAUGGCCCGGAAAUAUCUGUUUCUGGAAAAAUCCAGCAGGAGAAAAUCCAAUUGUUCUUCUAACGUGGAAUGGGGCUGCACAGGAUGCAAUCCAGGAACGUCAUUGAGCCCUUGGAGGAGCAGCUAAAUCUGGGAAUGAAGUGUUCAUGGAAUGAAGUGCCUUUCCGUGGAUGGAAUGGUUCCUCCCCCAGCAGGUGACAGCCGGGAGCUCUGCUCCAGAUGGGGAAUGUCAAGCACCUCACAAGUGGGCUUGUUAGAAUAUUGAAGCAACCGGCCAUCAAGGGAGCAUCCAAAACACAGGGCACAGUCAAACCACACAUUAGAGGGAAAGCACAAGAUGUGGAGCUGUCAGAGAGAGUGUUGGACUCUGGGGACUGAGAAAGGACAGAGAAGGAGGGAAAAGAAAGGGCCAGUGGAUGAUGAAGUUGAAGGAUAAGAAGAAUGAUUUUAUGGAUUCACAACACAAUGCAAAGAUGUAUGCAAAUCCUCGACACCGAAACCACCCUGUAAGCAACGGAAUUUACAGGAGGUCUAAGAAUUCCUGGAGCUGCCAAAGAAACUCUGCAGAACCAGAGACUCCCAUGCAGGAGGCCCCUGGUUUGGAGUUUUGGGAUUGUUUUAAGAGUUUUCAGCUUCUGAUGUGAAAACCUAAGGUCGAUGGUUGGACUUGAUGACUUUAGAGAGCUUUUUCAACCUGAAUGAUUCUGUGACUCUGUGAUUUUGGGGUGGCACACAUGGACUAUUCAGCACAGCUAUGUCUGAGCAGAUUUAUUCUCUGCCAGUUCUCAGGACCUUUUCCUAAGUAAACUCACCAUGGAAAUGGUGCAUUAUGGAGGAUGGAUAUCACUGGAUUUAAUCAGCAGCCUUGACAGGACGAGUGGCUGCCUGUUGUAUUCCAGGACGGAGAAUGGUUCAGAACAAACAUCCCAGAAGGAAUUUCUCAUUAUUACAGCACUGUCAACCUGAAAUUGGACUUUCUAGGACUUGGAAAUCCCAUUCACACAGAGAUAUCAAUUGUAACAGAUAAUCUCUUGACUCACUUUAUUCUUAUUCACCUUAUUUAGCCUUAUUGAAUUAGGGAAACAUAAGAAUAACCCACUUGCUGAAUGUUUCUGGAUACAUAUUUGUCAUCCAUGUCAGUACAAAAAUAGCUCGAUUUAUCUGGUGUGUCUUUUAUUUUUCUUCCCCAAAAACUCGAGAACAGAUUUUUGAGCUGCCUCAAAAAAAAGUUGCCUCAGAGAUGACAUUUCAAAGAUCCAACCCAAUAAAUAAAGAUAUUGUGGCCAUUUCCCUGUAUUUCUAAGCUCGUUGUUGGAAACAACAGCCUGAUAAUUGUGGCUGCUCAUGCCAUUAAUGAAGCAAUGCCAUCUAAAGCUCGGAUUUUGCAAUCUUUUCUGCAUAUGAAUAGUCUGAAGUUCAAUGUAAGCUGAUGAUUAAGACCUACUUGAAACAUUUGAUUCUGCAAGAUGUUGUUUUGUGCCGCGGCUUUCGGCUCCCUUUGACUUCCAAGUGGCUGGAACGUUGUGAAUCACGAGUGGGAGAGCAGCUAAAUGGAGAAAGAGAAGUAAAGAGAUGAAAUAUAAAAGAGUGUAUUGGAUUCUCUCUCCUUCCAUCCCAACUCUGGGCACACAACAGCAACUCUUGACUCGAGGGACGUGAGGGAAAAGCGCUGGGGUUUCCAACGAGCCUCUGACAUUUUUGAUGUUGUGCAUUUGUAGGAUGACUCAGAUUUGCCAACUGCUGCUGCCGUGGGUUUUGGAUGCUCCAUGCUCAGGGUUUUUUUGGGUGUUUGGUGCAGAGUCUGACCCCAGCACCUGCAUCCACAGAUGCACCCUCUGCUUCCAUCCCGAAUUUUGUGGUUCAUCCAAGUCCAGCAAUGUCAAUCCGUGCAAAGAUUGAGGUGAGAUGACUUUGAAGUGCACAAGGAGCACACACAGGUCCUUGCUGGGUGCUGAUAGUAAAAAAAAAGAGAAAAAUCUCCUCCUGAUCAAUCCCACACCCCACAAUUUCAUAUUUUUUCCUCUUUUUUGUCUAGACAGGGAGGUUGGGAAGCGUGGUUUGAUGGCAGCCCGCAACAGAAACUGAUCCUGGGAAGGUAUUUUUAAUAAGGGCAUGCAAGAAUGAGCCAAAUCAAAUGAAAACCACACAGAAUAUCCCAUAUACAAAUGCAUGGAAGUGGAACUUGAUGAUCCCACGUGUCCAUUCCAACCUGAGAUGUUCUGUGAUUUAUGGAACAGAAAUGCAGGUAAAAAAAGAGUUUUAAAAAUAAUCCUGCCACUGGAUUAAAGAAACACUGAAGGUGUUUUCUUUCUUGUUUGGGACUAGAACAAGGUUGGUUCAAUUGGAUCCACAGUUUGUCAGUUCCUGGUGGCUUUUAAUGAUUCCUGGUUUUCAGCUUCAUUUAUCUGUGCACACCUUCCCUGCCACAUUGAGAAAUGGCUGGUGGGGAGGUGGAGUUGUGUCUCAGGCUGUUCUUCUUUAAUAUGGGAAAUGUUUAAACAUCCCAUUUGGUUGAAAAAAUCCAUUAUUUCCUAGUCAGUCUCAUUCUUGAAUAUGUAUUUCCCCAAAAUACUUCUGAAGUGCUCCUUUCAUCACGAUUUUGAGGUGAAAAUAAAUAAUAAAGAUUUGGAGCUGGCCAACAAGCUGGAAAAUCUAUUUCUGAACCAGCUUUGUGUACAAGAUGCUCAAAAUAAGAGAGAAAGCAGGAUGGAGAUUUCAUUCCUACUUGGAAGAUAAAGCCCAGCUGUUCCAAAGCCAUGGAGAAUAUAAUUAUCAAAAACCACUAAUGAGGCAUCCCAGGUGGCACAGAAAACUCACCUGUAUCUUAUCUCUACGCUUAGCAAAGAGAUUUGUUAUGGAAGGAAUGGUUAAUGUCAAGACUGGGAAAAAGGAAAUAUUUGCUGCACGAAUUCUCCCCUUUCAGCUUUAUUUUUGUUUACAGCUGUGCAAGCUGAGUAUAAAAUGCAGCUAUUUUGACUUCGUAGUAUUUUAUGUCUCGUUUGAACGGUUUUAAAAAUUGAUUGAAGGCGGCCAAGAAUUGAACCUUUUCCCUCUUCUCAUGUUCCGUGGUGCUGGUUUUAUGUGGCACCUUUUCCACUAAAAAGGCACAGAGGAGGCUAAACAGCAAAAUAAAAGCCAGCCAUGCUCUACUAAAUCUUAUUACCCAAACCAGAAUCAUUCGAAUGUUUUAAAAGUUUUAUCCAUUGGGUCCCUGUGGGAGGGCAGUGUCGGGUUGGUGGUGAAUUUAUUUUCCCCAAAUUUCUGAAUUUCAAUCAGGUUUGCUCUAAUAGCUGUCAGCUGACCUGAUUAAAGCCUACCUCUCCUCGAGUUGAUUUAAAUCAACUUGGCUGCCACACAGCAAGCUGAAAUUCACGCUGGCCAUCUGCUGCACUAAAUCAAUUUAUUUUGGAGAACUUUAAUUCAAUUACCAGGCUCAUAUUCCAUGGCAGGUGUAGGAGACAAAUCCAUAUUUCAGGUUCCUAUGUGGGAUCUGGUGUAGGCAACUGAGGAGUGAGAGGAGGACUUGGGUAACAUAAAAGGAGUAAGAAAGGAUUUCCCUGAAAGCUUUAAUUACAGUUUUAAAGCAGACAAUUUAAACAGGUUUUGGAAUUAGAAAUAUUUAAAAGAAUCAUAUUGUGACCUUGCAAAUCGCUGCUGCUGUUGCACACAAUGCUACAGCCCGCUAGAAAUUAUAUAAAUACUGUGACUUGGUUAACAUUUCAAACCUCUGACUCAGAAAUUACCAUGAAAAUGGGGAAUAUUUCAGGAUCCAAUGAGGCCUUUACCCAUUUCUUGGCUUAGGGUUGUAGAUCUGGAAGGCCAAAGCAUCAGAGCCAGCUCACGUGUGGCUUUUGUGUGGUGUUGGGAGCCCUCUUGUCACAUCUGUCAGCUGUUGGGAGGAGCUGCACUCUAUGGAUCCUCUGGCAUCCAGACCCACCAAGGCUGUGAAUGCCCUCAUCCAACGGGAAAACAUGGAAUUGUGGUUUAAAAGUUCAAACAAGCUCCUGGGCUGGUCUUGGUCUUACCAUGACAGUGGCGGCUCUUCCUUAUCUAUCAACAACACAAGGGAAAAAAGUAGCCUUGGUUGUAGGAACCCAGAGUGCUGAGAAUAUUUCUAUGCCUGUUUUUAAGGGUUCUUACCCCCCUGGACACCACUGGUAUAGCUUUAAACCUUGGAAAAAAUUACCAACAGUCAGACAACAGCUAGAAAAUACAGUGCUGUGAAUUAGGUUAUAGACUACUAGGUAAGAUUGUUACAGGGUGAAAAAUUUAGAGGUUUUAGGCUUCUCUUUGUAGUAA